UUCCGGUUGAUCCUGCCGGACCCUACUGCUAUCGGGGUGGGACUAAGACAUGCAAGUUGUCAUGGUAAGACGCGGCAGACGGCUCAGUAACGCGUAGUCAACCUACCCUAUGGACGGGGAUAACCUCGGGAAACUGAGAAUAAUACCCGAUAGAACAUUAUGCCUGGAAUGGUUUAUGUUUCAAAUAAUUUAUUGCCGUAGGAUGGGACUGCGGCCUAUCAGUUUGUUGGUGAGGUAAUGGCCCACCAAGACUAUUACAGGUACGGGCUCUGAGAGGAGUAGCCCGGAGAUGGGUACUGAGACACGGACCCAGGCCCUAUGGGGCGCAGCAGGCGAGAAAACUUUGCAAUGUGCGAAAGCACGACAAGGUUAAUCCGAGUGGUUUCUGCUAAAGGAACCUUUUGUCGGUCCUAGAAACACCGAUGAAUAAGGGGUGGGCAAGUUCUGGUGUCAGCCGCCGCGGUAAAACCAGCACCUCAAGUGGUCAGGAUGAUUAUUGGGCCUAAAGCAUCCGUAGCCGGCUCUAUAAGUUUUCGGUUAAAUCUGUACGCUCAACGUACAGGCUGCCGGGAAUACUGCAGAGCUAGGGAGUGGGAGAGGUAGACGGUACUCGGUAGGAAGGGGUAAAAUCCUUUGAUCUAUUGAUGACCACCUGUGGCGAAGGCGGUCUACCAGAACACGUCCGACGGUGAGGGAUGAAAGCUGGGGGAGCGAACCGGAUUAGAUACCCGGGUAGUCCCAGCUGUAAACGAUGCGGGCUAGGUGUUAGGGUGGCUACGUGCCACUCUAGUGCCGCAGCGAAAGCAUUAAGCCCGCCGCCUGGGGAGUACGGCCGCAAGGCUGAAACUUAAAGGAAUUGGCGGGGGAGCACCACAAGGCGUGAAGCGUGCGGUUUAAUUGGAGUGAACGCCGGA
RNAcentral lists this ribosomal RNA (914 nucleotides) under uncultured archaeon. RNAcentral describes it as "bacterial SSU rRNA". It matches the Rfam family "Archaeal small subunit ribosomal RNA", at positions 1 to 922 of the family's 1478-position model. The record is from RNAcentral.